This is a long non-coding RNA of Rosa chinensis, 360 nucleotides long. RefSeq lists it as uncharacterized. The record is from RefSeq and is a predicted model, not a curated record. The transcript is spliced from 3 exons. NCBI's taxonomy places the organism in Eukaryota, Viridiplantae, Streptophyta, Magnoliopsida, Rosales, Rosaceae.
UUUAGGAUGAUACUGAAUGUUGGAUUAGUUUGGCACUAUUGGUGGUUUGGUGCAAGAGCAACUUACUUGUUCUUGCCUCAAUAUCCCAGACAUCAUUCACCAUAUGUAUCGGUUCAAAAUCCAUCUGUGAAUUUCAAUAUUGGUGGAUAACAUACAGUCACAUCAUGAAAACAUAAAUUAAGAUAUACUAAGGGAUCCAUUCACUUCCAAUUGUCAUGACCGAGACAGAAAGAGGAAAACUUGAGAAAUACAAAGGCCACUUGAAUAUAUGACGAUACUUGGAGCAUCUGUCAAAAGAUCUGAAUCUAUGAAGUCAAGGUUGCUGUGUUGCCACUUCUGAGAGAUUCUAUUUGUUUCAGU